UAUGGCAGACGGAUGUGGCAGCGACAAGGACAACAUCGCUGUGGACACAUAUGUGCAUUAUGUGUGGCCCAGUUGCCAGCUUCGGAUACUGGCUACUACUGAAAACUGGAUAUUGAAUACUGGAUACUGGUUGCUGUAUGGCGAUUGGGGUCCGAGAAAUUUCCAUAUUUGAUUGUUUUUGAACGCCUGCCGCAGGACGAGAAAAGCAGGAAAAGCAGGAAAAGCAGGAAAAGCAGACAAAACGCAGAAUAAAAAGCUCGCCAAGCGGCGUCUGUUUAUUGAAAACGGCAUAUAAAAAUCGAAUGGGCGGCGGCGCUUUUUCGUCCUUUUUGGAAUUGUGAAAAUGUGGAAUGCACCAGGCAUAACAUACUUUUGGGGGCGCUCAGUGAAAUGCAUCCAUUUAUUUACAUAUAUGUAUGUACGUAGGUGCAAGGACAACCCAUCCAAUGGUAAAAAAUAUUAAGUGAAGGCAAAGAAAAAAUAGGCACGAAGGCCGUUAGCAGAAUGAAACGAAUUACGAGUACCCUAGUCGAAGAAUUCAUAUUGCAUUGUCAUUCCAAAAUAUUUGUAUAGUAAUUUAAAGUGGUGUAAUCUUUCCAAGAAAAUUAUUUGUAAGCCGAUCAUUGAUAUGAUGCUAAAAUCAGGAAAUUCACAGAAAUGUGUACUUGUACUCGAGAAUUUCCUAUUUUGUAAACUCAUUAAAGGCAACUAGUAGGCAUGUAGGGAAAAUUCAAAUAAUUUGUUCAGUUUACAAUUAUUUUUGCUGGCGCAACCCAAAAAAUAGUAAAGCAUGCAAAACAUUCGCAGUGACACAAAAGCAACGCGGAAUCGGGUAGCAAAAAAAACAGGGGAACAGUAGAAAAAAUCCAUGCAGCCGGCAGCGACAGUCAAAAAGUUGUUACAAAAAACAAUUUUCGGAUUCAGUAGUUUGUAGCUGCAAUCUUUAAAUGGAUGUACAUGGCAAGUGGGAAGUAUCAGAAAUUAAACGCAAAUUGAUUGCAACAAGAAGAUAGCGAGUUUGUUUUAUUUACGUGUCACACUUAUGAUGAAAAUAAUAAAAUUCUUCAGUGAAA
This is a long non-coding RNA of Drosophila santomea, 1073 nucleotides long. RefSeq lists it as uncharacterized. NCBI's taxonomy places the organism in Eukaryota, Metazoa, Arthropoda, Insecta, Diptera, Drosophilidae. The record is from RefSeq and is a predicted model, not a curated record. The transcript is spliced from 2 exons.